CUCUGUGACUCCUACGGGAGGCAGCAGUGGGGAAUAUUGCACAAUGGGCGCAAGCCUGAUGCAGCAACGCCGCGUGAGCGAUGAAGGCCUUCGGGUCGUAAAGCUCUGUCCUCAAGGAAGAAUAAAUGACGGUACUUGAGGAGGAAGCCCCGGCUAACUACGUGCCAGCAGCCGCGGUAAUACGUAGGGGGCAAGCGUUAUCCGGAAUCACUGGGCGUAAAGGGUGCGUAGGCGGUUUUCAAGUCAGAAGUGAAAGGCUAUGGCUCAACCAUAGUAAGCUUUUGAAACUGUUAAACUUGAGUGCAGGAGAGGAAAGUGGAAUUCCUAGUGUAGAGGUGAAAUUCGUAGAUAUUAGGAGGAACACCAGUGGCGAAGGCGACUUUCUGGACUGUAACUGACGCUGAGGCACGAAAGCGUGGGGAGCGAACAGGAUUAGAUACCCUGGUAG
This 448-nucleotide ribosomal RNA is filed under the name uncultured bacterium. RNAcentral describes it as "bacterial SSU rRNA". It matches the Rfam family "Bacterial small subunit ribosomal RNA", at positions 328 to 793 of the family's 1533-position model. The record is from RNAcentral.